Molecule: long non-coding RNA, 7611 nt
Organism: Bactrocera dorsalis (oriental fruit fly)
Lineage: Eukaryota; Metazoa; Arthropoda; Insecta; Diptera; Tephritidae
Exons: 2
Source: RefSeq, a predicted model, not a curated record
AUGUUUUUUCCUCUCGAGCAUAUUAAAAAAUCUCGAUCAACCAGGAAACCAGUUUGUUAUGUCGUACAGACAAAUUAUUGCCUUUCUUCCCAAAAAGUAGACACAUAUUUUUUAUUAUAUUAUAUUCUCAUGUUUAUUCAUUCCGUACGGAGUAUUGAAAAGCGGUAGGCAGUUCAAUGGUCAAGGAUUUUAAGCGAAAAUGCCGUUACCCUUCUGUGCAACAAGCACAACUGGUUUUAAUUUAUCUAAGCUUCUAUUGUGUAGUAACACGGGUGCCAGCAAUUGAUGCUGGUCCAGCUUUUGGUCCAGGUGUGCUCUGCCGUGCGCUAGCUGUGCAUUAAACGUAUGCAUACUUUCACACCACCAAACAUUUACCGUUCUCUAUUAGGCAUAAAGCAAAAUCAUUGAACUUUUAUACAAAUUCGUUGUGAUCUGUUGUUUUGCUACGAUAAACAUGUAUUUCAAGUUUCAAAGGCAAGGGAAUUUCAACUGUGUCUGCUUUAUUGUCCAUUGCCCAUUGUCCUUGUGCGUAUGCGUUAAACGUCCUUGCGUUUGUGCAUUUUUUAUGCGGCCGUCGUCCUAUUGUCUCGAGCACUUUAUAAAGCCCAGAUUUUGCGCAGUUACGAUCAGUUUCAUUUCGAUCUUCAAACACUCAACAUCAGCCAAAAUUAUAGUGGAUUCGGUCGACGUGGCAGGAUCACACAGAUCCUGGCGUUGUAUUGGAGUAUAUUCGAGUGAAUUUAACCCAUCAACGUUGGCUAAUGUAUUCCUGAACCAAGUGCUAAAUUGCAAUAACAAAAAUUAGAUACACGUUUAUUAAAUAUUAAGUAAAAGUUAAAUACAAAUUUAAAUCUCAAAGAUAAUAAUUUAAAACACAAACUCAAUAAAGCGUGAACAACAUUUAAGCAAAAAAAAAAAAAAAUAAGGAAAAUUUAACAAUUAAUAAAUACAUUAAUCUACGAAGCCUAAGUUUUAAAAACAAACAGCAAUAAGUAUACAUUUUCAAGAUUAUUGAACGAAAGUCAGUUCCAAGGACAAUGCUCCAGAAUCAAAUCAUACUGUGUUCUAAAGAAAAUGAAAGAGAAUUUAAAUCUAAUAUACUAUUUUUCCAUUUACAGGAUCUCUUUAAUUACCAAAAGGAGGGUACGCUAAACACGAUCAAUUGAAACUCAACAAAACAUCUCAACUUCGUUAUAUUAAAAUUUCAAUUCUUCACACAUACAUCGUACAAAAUCCGUUUUGACUAUUUCCCAUUAACUUUGAAGCAUCAUACAACAACUCUCACAAAUGAGUUUGAACUUAAGAUGAAGAAUUUGACUCACAUUUGGUAGCAAAACGAAAGUAAUAUUAAGAUACUCUUACUCGCCGCAUAUAAAGCCGAAGAAGUGUAGCUUUUUCGGGGAAAUGCGCAGGAGAAACGGCGGAGAACCAGAUAAAAUCCAUGCAAAGAUAAAUUACCCCGUCCGUAUACAACUACUACUGCAAUUCCAUAUAGACGCGAGAUGCUAGUUUCUCCUGUAAAGUACACUCAAGAGAACAGAGAUAAAGGCAUUACCCCAGCUUGUAGGCAGAUCUCUUCAACCCCGUGAACAACAGCAGCAAUACAUUUAAGAAUCAACAUCAACUCUCUCACCAACACAACUUCCAAUUCGAACAAAAGCCAACGAAACAAAUGUUGUGCUUCGUAAUAUGGUUGAAAUGCAAUGCAUAGAUUUUGGAUAGUUUUGGCUAGUGUUUUGGCUGUGACUAAAUUGCUACCGGUUAAUUCGCAUUGCAUAUAAAUUUAACAGCGUGAUAGAUAUAAAUAUUAACAUAACACGGAAAUCCAAAAUUGAGGUGAGCUACUGUCAUAAUCACAAUUUGUAUUGUAACCAAAAAGUAAAAAAGAAAAAUGGCGCGAACCAUACAAAGAGCCUGAGCGUUCAGCAAGUAUCAGCGGAAGCAGAACGCUUUCUAGGGCAAUCCACAGCGAAUGUACUUUAACUUUAAGCCAUACGCAUCCAUAAAUAAUAUAGUUCAAGAAAAAUUAUUAUUAGAAACCAAAAACCAAAAUAUGUCCAUACCAAAAGAGUGCAUUCAUGUUUUUCAAGGACAUCCAAGAAGCUGCAGAAAAAUUAAAAUUUACAAAAAAUUAACUUGCAAUAGUUAUGGUUUAAAAAUAUAUUUUUAUUUUGAGCAUGUAUGGUACUAUUUGUACGAAAAAAGUUAGUGAAUCUUUCAUUUACUCAAAUUUGUUGUGGAUAUUUCCACCACCAUUUCCUCUCCUCCAAUAUCACCACUACGCAGAAGUUUCGUCUCAAAUAAAAUGGCAGCCGCUUCUUGGAUGUCAUUGAAGAAUGAAAUAGACCGACAAUCUAAACUAAAAUUAAAAAAUCCGAAAACUUGAAAAAAAUUCUUUUAGCAAUUUGCUAAUGUUGAAGUGAUUAAACCAAUAGCGAUCGAAUUUUUUAAUUUUAAGGUUUAUGAUAUUCAAGAAAUAUGCAAAAUGUUAAAAGAAAUUUUUAUACAAAGCCAAAAGCCCUAAAUACGUCCUUAAUACUUGAACUCUAAAAACAAAUCUAAUUAAUUUUAAUGAACGCACGCUGCUAAAUAUUUCACGAUAGUCCUAUUCUUAUAUUUCGCAAUCACUAAAAUUUAUAAGUUUGGAAUAUUUAGUCAUCUUCAAGAUUAAGAUUUGCGGAUGUAGCCACUACAACUUUUGAACUGGUUCGCCAUUAAAAGCUGAAAGCGCUUCGAUUAGAUAUUAAAAAUUUACUUCAGAUAAGGUCAUUUAAUUGAAAAUUUCCUUUUGAAAAAAUUUUAAAUCAGCUAAAUAACUAAAAAGUCUUAUAUUUUCUCUCCUUUUUCCAUAAUUCUUACGCGAAAAAUUUAAAUUAGAUAGUCCUUUUGAAAUUAUUUCAAUUAAAUACAAAGAUUUCGAAUCCAGGCACUUUACGCUAUAUCAAGAACACAAAAUCUUGUUAAAACUUCGCAUUCAAAAAAAUAAAAUUAUUUACUUUAAAGGAAUUCUUUUCAAAUUUUAAAAUUUCAAAAUAACUUUUGAACUUGAAGUACAAAAUUAAUUAAUUUAAUUUAAAUAAAAUAUUAAUCUUCCUAUAUAACUAAGGUAAAAAAAUUUAUUUUCGAUGAAAUGAUUCAAAAUUUUCAGAUAAUCUAGUUUGAUUUUUGAUCAAAAAAUAUUUCGUUAAAUCUUAAUAAAUUAAUUGCAAAAUCUGUUUUUAUAUGAAAUAAAUUUAGUUAAGCAAAAACCUUGAGUUUCGUUUUCGAAAGAAUUUGAUUAAAUUUUACUAAAUUCAAUUUUCGAAAUUAACCAUUUCCAAAACUCAAAGUUCUGUGAAAAAAGUCGUAAAAUUAAUGCUUUCAUUAUGAUUUCUAAAAUUUAAUUAUUUAAAGCAAAGCAUUGUUUUGAAUUUGGGGUAAUCAUAUAAUUUGAUGGAAUUAGUUAUUUUUAGACAAAAAAAAAAAACACUUCGGCAGCUUACUCAUCUCUAAAAAUUAUUUUUACUGAUCCUAAAUCUUAAAAUAAUAUCAAAUAUAAAUAAUUAUAAAUUAACAAAAUGCAAAUAUUUUUAAAUUCACAAUUUAAUAUACUUUUAUAAUUUUUUAUUAAAAAUAAUAUAUUUUAUUUGAUUAGCUUACAAAAGUUUUAAGCCAUUUAAGUUUCAAAAGUUUAAGAAAAAUAAUUUGUGAUCUUGGAAGACAGACAUAUAUCUACUACAUGGACUUAUGUACAUAUAUGUUUUAAAAGAUAAUAGUUUAAUUAAAAAAUAUUUGAAAUGAAAAACGGAAUACAAACAAUUUACCCCUAAUUAUCCAAAAAUAAUUCCAUGCAUCUAAUAUUUUAAUCAGUAAUUUAUUGAAGGACAAAUCAUAACACUUUAUGGUAUAAAGAAAGCAAAAUAUUUAUCUGAGAAACUUAAAAUUUAAUAAUUUAAACAUUUAUUUUUAGACUUUUCCAAAUUCAUCGAUCGUAGCGGCUACGCACUUAUCUUUGGCAUUUGAAUAUUAAAAAGAUUCCAAAUUCAAUAAAUCAAAGCACGAAUGUGUGAUAACGUAACGUCUUCGAGUAUAUCUUACCCAAAGAAACAAAAAAACACAUUUUGAUUGCAAAUUUAACUCUUAAUUCAUUAUUCGAAGCAACAUUGAAUCCAUCUGGCGAAAAAUAAAAAUAAAUUCCUUUAAAUAAAUCUUAAUUAAACUGAAGAAAGCAACUCUGCAAAAAGCAACAAAAUUCACGGUCUUACAAAAAUUUAAAUUCACGCAUACUCGAAUAUCCAAAUUGUAAAAAAUAUUUGUAUACAACAAUGACUACCAAAAGCGACCUAUAAAACAAAAUUAAAGUGACAAUAAAGCGCACAUUAUUAUACAUAUUAACAGAGUCAUAAAUUACCCUAUGCGGCAGAACGGAAGUCGUUAUGCGACAAACGCAAGAAAUUUUCAAAUUCAUACUCCUCUAGCAUUAGUCAAGUACAAAGCUCAUUACAACUCCCCGGAAAACGCAAUAAAAAAUCCACUUUGGCAAGCAACUCGGCUCGACAAGACAAAGUCAUCUUAAAAUAGCAGCAAACAAAACAAAAUUCCAAAUAAGAAAACACUUUAUUUAGCAGUAAAUUUGAGUUCUUAAACCAGUUAAAUUUAUAAUCGAAAAUAUGGUAGACGCUGCUAUUCAAAAUGGUUGUGAAAUUGCGAGGUAUUGACUGAUAGGUCCAGAAAGACCAUCUUUUCAAAGACUGAUAGAGUGGUUAAGCAUUAUGCAAUAUAUAAACAAAGUAUUUGAAUCAAAACUACAAAACUACCAUAUUGGGCGAUAGUCAAUCAACCGAAGACAAGCAAUCUGUAAAUGUCAAAAACUGAAAGUCUCAUUCAAUUACUUAACCAAGCGGAUAAGCAAAAAGCUCGUUUAUUCGGCCGAACUUUCAACACAAACGAGAAAAACUAUGAAAUUCAAAUCAAAAUCAACUUCUGAAUUACAUCAAACAACGAUGACUACCGCAUCUCUACACAAAUUUUAUCCUUCGUCAUAAUAUUAAAAUCAUUCAAAAAGAAAAUUCAACUUUGGCAACGUUCUUAAAUUGUGGUCAAAUUUCUUGAAGAAAAUCUGUAAAUCUGGAUUAAUAUACGGGCAUAUGUUUUACUCACAAAUCGUCACACAUAUGCAGAAGUUAAUAGCAUAGUAUAAAAAAUAGCAAAAACUACAACAUCAAAAACAAAUUGCAAUUCAAGCAAUUCCAUAAGUGUGGAAACAAAAGCGUAGUUGUGGCAAAAGAACCCUCAGAAAGAUAUUUACGACGAACUUUCAUCAAAUAAAUAAACAAGAAUAAAACAACACACGCCGCAGAUUGAAAUCAGGUUCACCGUCAGAAUGGCAGUCAAACGGUUUUUAUGCAAUCUUUCAGAACCAAGUACUUACACACAAGCACAUACAAAAAUUACAUAUCUCAACAUCAUCGACAACAUCAAAUUUGCUAUUGAGCAACAAUCCAAAAACAGCAAUGUGUAUCAGCUUCGACAGCAUAAGCUACAAAAUCAUACAGAGCAGCAUUUAAACUUUCCAUAAUAAAUUUAUGAACCAGCAGCAGUCGCAGUAAUUGCUAUCAAUAAAAUAUAAACCCCAAAAAACGUUCAAACUCACACUAAGGCCAUGCGCAGUCUUUCGCCAACAAGCCAACAGCAGGCCAACCUCAUUCACAAAGCACUCUAUCUUGCUAUCGUAUUCAACUAUUCCACCCCCCAAACACUGCCAACCCGCCCAUUUGGCCAAGCUAAUGACAUGAGGCCGCUGCAAAUGAAAUUACAAUAUAUCUAUUGAACAUGGCAGACAGCAACCAAAGAAACCAGCAGCAAGACCGCGGCAAAACUAAAGGAUGCGAUUGCAAAGACAGUAUUCGAAGAAUAAGAAAAUACUAAAUUUAUAGCAAAAUUGCUCUCAAAUUUACUUGCUGCAUAUACCGACAGUUACAUGUUCUCGAUCAACGGCAACAAAUUUGGUAACGCAUAAUGGUUUCAUCUCAACCUAACCAAAUGAUAUACUAUAUAUAAGCAUGUAGGUAUAUACAAAAAUUCAUAUAUAUUUCUCGCCAAAACCUAACUCUAAAAUGACGACAUAUUCGCAUUUUUAUGAAAAUUCGCCAAGCCAACGAAACUCGUUUUGAUAUCGAUUUUUAGAAACGCAGGUAGCAAAGAGAUUCUCCUCCGCAACACACAUAUUCAAACAUGCAUGAAUAUUUAUUAGCGAUUACGCUUUCAUUUUAUAAAGUUUCUUUAAAGUUUUGACUAAUUCAUAGGCAAAAGCGGAUGGAGAUCGAAAUUGUUAUUAUAAGUAAAUUCAAUCCAAUCCAGUUCAGAAGAGCUUCACUAUUUCAGUAGUUUACCACUAAAUCAUCAUUGUACACACAAAUGUUUUGAUAAGUAUUCUCUGGCACUAACACAUACUGUGUGACUCACUUUCGAAAUUUAUUCGGCGUCAAUGAUUUUUAAAAUAUGUAGUUGGGAUCUGUCCAGAGAGAUUGCCUUGCGAAAUCAAAUAUUGUUUGAUUGUGCGGUAAAGAAUCAUCAGGGGGGAUACCCAGUGUAAUUGCUUUAAAUACGCAACGAACGAAAAAGAGCUUUGUGCCCACGUGCCAGAAAGCGAAAUGCAUACACUCAUAUAUACAUAUGUAGGUAUGUACAUACAUAUGUAAGCAAUGAAAAAGUAAAUAAUCGAAAAAUUAUUGAGCCAACUAAAAUGAAAUAAAUUAAACACACCACUAAUAUUUUAGAGAUUCGAACAAAUUUCGAAAAUAACUUGACCUUUUUAUGUAUGAUUAAUAUUUUGAGUGGUUAAGCGAACAACAUAGUUUUGUGGGUUCAGCUUAUAAGGAAACAACACAAAGAAACAAAUUCAAAAGAAUAGUCAAAGAAACAAAAAACCCAUAAUGGCUAAAAUUAAAUUGUUAUCACAACUACGUCACAACAUGGUUACGGAAGAAAACUUACAAGGGCUAAUCGCAAACAUUAUCGAAUGAAAAAAUAUAAUGUAACUACACUCUGUAUCCCCUCAAUUGUGGACACAUUUUGUUGUCGCCAAAACACGAGUAAAAUGAAGGCAAAAUGUCCUUAAAUUCGUGAAUGUUUACUGAAAAAAGCCAAAAUCGAUGACCUUUCGAAUCAUCAAAAGUUAAGCUGGUCAUGCAGGUGAUUUAAAGAGAACUUGUAUGCAGCGCUAAAAUUGUGAAUGCCAAUCCUUUUGUCUAAAAUGUUCUCUUCUUAUCACUUUUGUAUUCGCAAACAUUUUAGAUGAGACGAUUGUUGCAUUAUUUACAAAUAUUCCUUAUUUUCUACAUAUAAACAAAAUUGUAUAGUUGUUAGUAACAACCGAUAAAAUGUUAUUUAAUCUCUUUGAUAGAUCUAGAAUUUCCGGUAUAGGUACAUAUGUAUAUACAUAUUCACUGCAUGGUAAUUCAAAUAUGAGUAAAGUAUUCAAAAAUUGUUAACACUCAAAUAUAAAAUAGAUUAAUAUAACUGUAAAGCUAUGCUGUUCUAAUCUAAAUCUAUAUCUAAAUUGAAUAAUAAUAUACAAUUGUACAACUCAGUUUGCUCCUAAUAAAAUAAAUAAACUCAACUCAACUCAAA